Small nucleolar RNA from Brassica napus (rape), 134 nucleotides. RefSeq annotates it as small nucleolar RNA snoR77. The transcript has a single exon. NCBI's taxonomy places the organism in Eukaryota, Viridiplantae, Streptophyta, Magnoliopsida, Brassicales, Brassicaceae. The record is from RefSeq and is a predicted model, not a curated record.
AGGCAGCCUACUUGUUAAAAAAAUUGAUGACAUGAGAGGUGUUUAACUGCUCCUAGAUUAAAUUAUGCUUCUGCUCUUCAGACUUGCUGAGAUUUAUUAAUCUUUGAAGCUGGUCUAGUAGUCUUAAGCACAUU